AGAGUUCUUAGUGUAGGACAUAGUACAAAAGUAUACUGUUAUCUCCCAGGGCACCCAGUGCAAGGCUCUUUAUCUCAUCCCGCUUGGGUGUACCUGGUUACCCUCAGUGACCCUCAUUACUGCCAGACGUAUGUUGUUUACAUUACCCCUGCCUACUGUUCCUUUCCCUCACUAAGGCUGAUUCUCAAGAGGGAAUUCAAGAGAGAAUGCCAAUCUAACACUGUUCUUUUCUGUCCUCGUUGGUCACUCAGGACUCAGGUACUUCUGCCCUCCCUUUGGUCUCCCUGUUCUUCUAUGUGGUGACAGAUGGCAAGGAAGUCCUACUACCAGAGGUUGGGGCCAAGGGGCAGUUGAAGUUUAUCAGUGGGCACACCAGUGAACUUGGUGACUUCCGCUUUACACUUUUGCCACCAACCAGUCCAGGGGAUACAGCCCCCAAGUAUGGCAGUUCUUGAUACAGCAGGUGACCCUGAAAAUUCCCAUUUCCAU
RNAcentral lists this long non-coding RNA (489 nucleotides) under Homo sapiens (human). RNAcentral describes it as "non-protein coding lnc-MRPL53-2:1". Lineage: Eukaryota; Metazoa; Chordata; Mammalia; Primates; Hominidae. The record is from RNAcentral.